This 405-nucleotide long non-coding RNA is filed under the name Ananas comosus (pineapple). RNAcentral describes it as "long non-coding RNA (ACOM_LNC018197)". The record is from RNAcentral. Lineage: Eukaryota; Viridiplantae; Streptophyta; Magnoliopsida; Poales; Bromeliaceae.
GCCCAUUCGGCCCGAUUACAAACAGAAAAGAAAAAAAAAAGAAAAAUCAAUUACCAUCUCCCAUUCUCCCCUUACUCAAUCUAUUGAAAUUCUAGACGAAGAGCCCAGCCCUCUCAUCCUCCUCCGCCACCACAGCCAAUGAGGUAGAGUUUCGGCGGUUGCUAAAUGCUUAAAUAAGUAUUGGUAAAUUAGCAGCACUCUUUUUAAAUUAUAGCGACACUCUUUAACUGUCACUAUAUACCUAGCGACCCCAUAUAAAGUAACACUUUUUAAAAGUGUUGGUAAUUAGCCAGCAGCAUUUUUUUUGACCUAUACCGACAUUUAAAAGUCUCGCUAUAGACUGUUUUUGUUGUAGUGUAUUAUUUAUUUUGGAUUGUAUAAAUGAUGUAUGUACAUUGAUAGCUA